Molecule: long non-coding RNA, 5946 nt
Organism: Anguilla rostrata (American eel)
Lineage: Eukaryota; Metazoa; Chordata; Actinopteri; Anguilliformes; Anguillidae
Exons: 4
Source: RefSeq, a predicted model, not a curated record
AGAGACACUGCUAUUCUCGGGAAUGACUUCAAGCUGGGCAUGACAUCAAUUCAGCCCGUAUCAGCGCGACCACAGCCUCCAAAUAUGCAGAACUGUGAAACUGAAACUGCCAGAUAUCAACAUGUUUUCUUUGCUCAAGAGCAAGGGGCCCUUUGAAUGGAAAGGCAACUGAAAACGACUUUGAUGAGCAGAAUGAGCGCGUGUUCUAUUAGCCCUCUACAUGGAGGCGGAGCUCCAGUGAUUGUGAGAGUUCUCAGUAUUUCCAGUCUUAUCUGCUCAGGCUGGGGGAGGGGGCUUAAUGGAAAAGAUAUAUACAACAGGAAGCAGAGGAUGUGAGUUAGCGGAAAGGCCGCAGCGGAGUCUCCAGUGAAGGCACGGCACGACACGGUGCGCCACGCGACUCAUGGGCCGCGCUGAACCCAACCGGCACUGGCAACCUGGUCACUCUGCGGUCCAGGGUGAGUAAACAACCAGCCCCAGCCGCUACCAGAUCAAAUAUGCCAGGUCCAGGUGGGCCGGCAGGAGAGGUGCAUCAUGAGCACAGAGAGUGGGGCUUUGGUGCCUCCAGGUGGAUUCUGGGUGACGGGACGCAGAUCUCUGGGGAGGGCACGACAGAGAGACCGAGGGCGGGAGUGGACCGCCGUGCUGGGCUCGCCAUUUCGGCUCGCUGGCAUCCCAAACUGGUGCUUGUGUUCCCAAGGACACUAACCCUCCCAAAGCUGUGAUUCCUGCGGCCUGUCUCGCUCUAAAACUGCACUUUAUUUCUGUGUGUGUGUGUGUGUGUCUGUGUGUGUGUGUGUUUGUGUGUGUUUGUGUAUGAGUGUGUGUGUUUGUGUGUGUGUGAGUGUGUGAGUGUGUGUGUUGUGCGUGAGUGUGUGUUUGUGUGUUAGUGCGUGUGUGUGCUUGAGUGUGUGUAUGCGCACGUCCAUGUGUGUGCUUAUGUGUGUGUGUCUGUGUUUGUGUGUGUGUGUGAGUGUGUGUGUUUGUGUGUUAGUACGUGUGUGUGCUUGAGUGUGUGUAUGCGCACGUCCAUGUGUGUGUUUAUGUGUGUGUGUGUGUGUGUGUGUGUGCGCGCGUGUUAGCAUGCGCAUGUGUGUGCUUAUGUGUGUGUGUGUGUUUCUGUGUCUGUGUGUUUGUGUGUGUGUGUGUGUGUGUGUGUGUGAGGGUGUGCGCUGGAGAGAAAGGAAGAGCAUGUUUUUGCCAGUAUCCUUUUUCAGCCUGUGUGUUUCUGGUUGAACCGUACCAUGCCCUGCUGCCUGGACUCUGACCUGUUGGCCGAGACUCACGUCCAUCAGCAUGCCGCUCACUGUCAUGGUGAAUGAACCGCCACAAAAAGACUCCACCCAGGGAAAAUUCUGCCCACAUUCUUUAUGAGGAACAUUUCUUUUGCUUCAGUGCAAGGGAGAAAUAACCUUCUCUGCUGAGGGGACGCACUGACUGCCCUGUGCGUGUAGGCUUCUGGGCCCUGAGAUACGGAAGGAGUGGGAAAAAAUGACGGUAUGUCGCUCACCUAGUGACCACCCUCAACUCCCUGGGCAAGCGGUGACCGCAGCAACUGUGGCUCCUCACCCAUUGGCUACUGCGGUGACCAUGGCUCUUCACCUAUUGGCUCUUCCGGUGUUAUUGUGACAGUUUGUUUGCAGUCAUGUGUCGCAAGGAGUGGCCUCUGGCCCGUAGCUCAUCUCUUAAUCACUGUGAGAAAGUUCGACGGGACCGUUAUUGGCUUGUCAGAGCUUGCGUUCGUGCUGCUGUACUAAGCAAUGGAAAACGCCUCAACUGUGCGAGGUCUCUCAAAACAGAGCGGUGGCUUGCCUGGUGCGUGAUCUGUCCCCCGUGAUCGGGUUCUCGGUUGUGAACCACUUUGAUCUUAAAACAAAGAAGCUGCUCGUGGCAACUUUAAUACGGUGCCAUUCUGAUUACGCCUCCCCUGUGUGGUAUAGUGGACAAAUCUGUCAACAAAUCUGAAAAACAAGAUGCAGUUUUUCCAAAAUAACAUAAUUUGGUACUUGCUUAAUGCUCCAGACAGAGCCCAUGUUGGGGCAAAUGAAUUCAGAGCAGUGGGCUGGCUAUCGGUAAAACUCAGGGUGGAGCAGCUAAAACUCAGUCACAUGUGUAAGAUCAUUAACAGUACAGCACCUGAAUACCUGAGCUUACAAAUAGCUAUGGUUGGUUCUCAACCACAACACAUGUAGUACAUGUAACUGUAGAGCACCCAGAUGAAAUAGUAUGGCAUCCAGCCCAUUCUUUUACACUGAUAUUGUAGUUUGGAACAGCCGUCCAAUGCAGGCUAAGCUGUCCCAGGCCAGGGGUAUCUUCAAAAGACAGGUUAUGGGUUUUCUAUGGAGGAAGUUGGAUGCUGGGCUGAGAUAUUCUGUAAUUUUAUGAUUACAGAAGUUGUGAAAAUUACUGGUUGUGAUUUGUUAAGCAUUUAGGGUUUUCUGUUUUGGUCCUACUUAUUGAUGCAUGUGUGCUGAGUAAAAUGUUUUUGAUGAAUGCUAUCAUAAUUAUGUGGAGGAUUUUUUAUAUUUCAUUGAGGGCCAUAUUGGAAAGAAGUGUUUAAUGCUUUGACAUGUUACCUCUGGGCUGUACAAUGUGUACAUAAUUUAACCCAAAAAUCAAAUGAAAUCAAAUCAUUGAGCAGGAACCUUCUUUUCUGGGAAAGAACCUAUCCCUAGAGAACAAUACUAUCAUAAAUCAUUGAGUCAGACACAAACCGCGGCCAACGCCUGGUUAUGAAAGAGUCUGCUUAUUUGGCUCAUAAAACUCUCCCACUGAGUCCUGUCAACAACUCCAGAUUUAACCAGUCCUAGACCUCUUUUUGACAAAAGAUGGGGCUUUUCAGGGAAGGUCCAUUUUAGGCAGGAUUGCUCUGUUUUUUUAACACAGUAGUAUAACCUCUCCAUGAUCUGUUCACAGACAGGAGUUACCAGUUUCUCAAGAGCGCAAAUGGCUACACCGUCAGACUGGAGGGAACCGUCUCUUAUCGACCGUGUCACUAACAUUAGAGUGACUUUGCCCAAGGCCUGCCCCUCAGCACUUUCACAUGAGCUCUCAUGCCCACACUCUUGCUCGGGGGGUAUGGGUGGUGGAGGGAAGGAUUUGCAUGGCGUAGCACCCAGCAUUUGGGUGUGGCAAAUUAACCAGGAAGGCGAAGAUUAGAUAUUGAGAAAGAACCUCAUGCGGCAUGGUCAAGUUCACAGUUCAGCUGAAUUGUGAACCCUGAUCUGGUACAGCGAGGUCAUGUCUGAUAGACAGGGUGCUUAGUCUGAAGCUGCACACUCUUGUUGACUCCAAAAACAUUCUUAUUAUUAAAAAUACCAAUGUUUCAACACUGCUGUGCCUUUGGCAGUAGUUUGUCAUCAGGGAUUCUUUGUCGAAAAAGAAUACCAGAUGAGGACAUGCAGGUGUCAAGAUGGCGCUUGUAACAGUAAACAUUCUUCAACUGCCUGUCUAUCAGGAAAACAUGGAAAACUUACCAAAACACCAAUUUACUCGUAUAUACUGGCUGAAUGUGUUUUAUAAUGAUGCAAAGAUCACUAUAGAUCAGAUUGUCCUCUCUUUAUCUUCCCAUAUAAUGAAUUACGGAAGAACAAUAGUAGAUAUUAGACUAUUGUUAUUUCUUCCUUUAGUACAUAUUGUUAAAUGUCACAUUACUGGGUUUAAGAGCAGGGAUAAGGAUUUAAAUAUUACUUUAAAUAAUUACCCCAGGGGACAUUCAGGCUUCAUAAGGGGACUAUUGCACAUGCAGUAUAUGUGUGAACACUCAGAUUGUACAUCAGGAAAUGUGUUUUUAAAAUUUGACGUUUUCCAACAGCUCUGAAAUGGACAGUUUUGUCAUGCUUGAUUUAAGCUUCGCUUGUUUUUUUGCUUGAGAUCAAAGAAUCGAGUGUUUUUGUGUAAUAGAGCAGAACAGAGCAAAGUCGUAUAGAAUUCCACGGCUAACCUGAUAGUUACCGGAUUAAGAAUCUAUGGCCGGCACCCCGAAAUCAGUCAAACGUCCUGCGAGGGGUUUGCAGGGCCGAGCGACAGGCAGGACGGCCCCCGUUGCAUUCAAGUGUCACGUUUCUCAUUCAAGCGUUUGUGACUGAGGCGCACAUAUGCACACCGACACACACACACACAUGCCCGGCCUAUUAUUCAUGCUCGCUCUUCCAUUAGAGAGAAGAGACAAUAGAAAAUUCUGGGAACUUGCAGGCACGGCCACACUGCAUGAUGUAAUCGGGUUCAAUGAUAGGGUAUCGGAUUACUCAUGUAAUCAUUAACCAAUUACAGCCGAGGGGCUACAAUUGUAGUGCGCCGCCCUGUAAUCCCGUGGCUUGUUCGUCAGGACUGGAGCCAUUGCGCAUAGAGCAGGCCCCUUUGGCCCUUUGGUUCCUUUGAGUAAUGGCUUCACUGGUGCUGUCACUCCCAAGGGGGAGAGAAGUGAAGGCACUCCCAGAACCAGAGGACCGGGGUCGAGGGUUUAUAAUGCCGAAUUCAGGGGCCCGGUUUAGCACAGGUUCUGGUCCUCAAUAAGAAGACUGGAUGGAGAGAGGGAGGGAGGGAAGGAAGGAAGGAAGCGAGAGAGAGAGACGGAAAGGAUGACGAGACAAAAACGAGUGCAAAAGCAAGGCUGAGAUGAUCGAGAAUACUGGGGAAACAAAGUGUGAAAAGGAAAGAGGUAGUGUGCCCUAUUGGUAAUGUACAGCUUUUCUGUAAGCAUGACAUUUGAGUCGAUGCAGGGCUCCCAGACAGUAUUUGGGUGUGUUGCCAGGUUAGGCAGGUUUCUGAAACCAGGAAGACAAAGUGAAAACCCCCAACAAUACAGAAGACAUUCAUAUGCUGGAGAUGUGAUUAAACAAAACAUUCUGUGCCCCAAAACCUUCAGUCGUCAGUCACAGAUAAAUCCUAAAUGUUGAGCCACCACAUCUUACUGAUGCCAAAAGUAUAAAUGUAAACUGUUAAUGUUCAAGAGGUAUUAGGAAUUAAUGACUAAACUAAAUAAACCAAAUGCUGAAAUUGCAUUUCUUAAUAACAGAAAUAUUUGAAAAUGGGUUCCAUGGGACGAAAGCUUCGGGCUGCCAAGGAAUCUUUCAUUCGAUUACAUAAAAAGAGUGCUUCUCUGGCAUUUCUCUCUUUAUUUGUUUCUUUGUUUGACAUUUGGAAGGAAAUCCAUUCACAACUAAUAGAACUGGAGUCCCAAGUUGUUGAUAAGAAAGCAAACAAACCCAUUUCAUUCAGAUUUAAGAAUGACACACUCAAACCAGAGCCUAACUAGGUCAAUGCAACGUCCUGCAUGAUCAGUUAAAGUCAGGCAUUUAUAGCUGACUGUACUGGCUGCAAAUUUGUUUUUAAAGAUUAUGCCAUCUUUAUAGUUAAGGGCAGGGCAAAGGAGAGGUGUCGAAACAAGUCUAGUUAUCAAUAACCUCACAGUAAGAUAUGACACCAACGUAAGUAAGGUAAAUUGUAGAUAAUUAGCUGAGCAGAUAAUUAUGAGUUAAGCUUCUCGUCCUUUCAUGUUUUGCCAUUGAUUCAAUGGUAGCAAAUAAUGAUGAAUAAUGAAUUACUGAAGCAGAACUUGUGACAUACCUUUGACAGUUCUUUAUUGAUUGCAUUUACAUUACAUUGCAUUACAGGCAUUUAGCAGACGCUCUUAUCCAGAGCGACUUACACAACUUUUUACAUAGCAUUUUUUAACAUUUUUGUAUCCAUUUAUACAGCUGGAUAUAUACUGAAGCAAUUCCGGUUAAGUACCUUGCUCAAGGGUACAACAGCAGUGUCCUUACCCGGGAAUCGAACCUGUGACCUUUCGGUUAUGAGCCCAGUUCCUUACCCACUGUGCUACACUCCGUCCAGCUUAAAGACAAAAGAGGCCCAUAACAUUGUAUAAAUUAUGAUAUUCUCAUCAAAUGAUGAGUAUCCUUUUUUGACAGUUGCAUGGCUUGCAAAUAGAAGUGGGUGUGAAAA